Molecule: long non-coding RNA, 2607 nt
Filed under: Theobroma cacao (cacao)
Lineage: Eukaryota; Viridiplantae; Streptophyta; Magnoliopsida; Malvales; Malvaceae
Description: long non-coding RNA (TCAC_LNC006213)
Source: RNAcentral
GGAAAGUGAAGAUUUUGCAUCCUCUUUAUUAUGCCAAUAGAACAUUAAAUGAAGCUCAAGCAAAUUACACCACAAUUGAAAAGGAGUUGUUUGCUAUUGUUUUUACUUUUGAUAAGUUUCACUCCUACCUUGUUGGUACUAAAGUCAUUGUUUACAUUAAUCAUGCAGCUAUUAAAUAUCUGAUUGAGAAGAAGGAUGUAAAACCAUGCUUGAUAAUAUGGAUACUAUGAAAUCCCACAUUGAGUAAGAGGAUAACUGUCACGACCCGGUACUCCCCUCGAGCUUGUGACAACCGCCUCGACUUCUCGAUAGACAUUCAUUGCCCGGAAUGCCAACCGGAACCUCACAAGGCUUUAAUAUCAGUUUUUGCACCUCCCCUAUGAGCAACAGUUGUUAAGUAUUAUAUUUUGAGAGAUUAUAAACUAUUUCCAAAUCAAAACAAUAGAAAAAUAAUUUUUUCUCAUAAAGGGCAUUUUGGUCAUUUUUCCUCAAAAAUCUCGAAACCAGCUAAAAAUAUAGUAUGCGAGUGGAAAACACAUAUUUCAUAAUCAAAAAUAAGUUUAGAUGUCUAAAACAUUCAUUUAAAAUGAAACUAUAACUAUUUGAAUAAAAUAAAAAUAUUUAAUAAAAUAUUCUAUUUUCUUAUAAAACAAUAUUUAUAGAGUUACCGGUAAAUAAUUUUUAUAGCGUAAAAGCUAAAUAAAUUCAUACAUACUGUAAUACAGAUAACCAAAGCAUAAGAUUUAAUUUACAAUGACACAUGGGCCCACGAACGACUAAAAGUAAUGAAGGCUAUGAACCUACAGUUUUUGAGGAUGCAAGUCCAAUUGUAGCCCUCAACGAAAUGAGCUAUCUACCAACUAUCCUGAGCCUAAAAGGGGUGGAAAGGAGGGUGGUGAGAUUAUACAAUCCCAAUGAGUAAACAAAUACCAUCUAAAAUAUCUAAAGUUGAGUAAAUGGAGACAGAUAAAAUCGAUUAACAUAAAAAUGAUCCACAACAUUUCGCACUUAUUUUAAUAAGAUAAAAUAGAUUCAUUUCACCCAAAUAAAUAAUGAGGCUUAUGAUUUCUUGAAAAGUAUGGCUUGUGCCAAAAUCAUUCUCAUACUCAGUUAUCAGGGAUACCUUGGCCUGGGGCUAUCCCAACCGAGUCCGCCAAGGCUAUUAAAAAAAAAUCAUGUAUGCAUAAAUCAUGUUUUUGUUUUGCAAACAUAGCCGUUCCUUGGUGAUGGCUGAGUUCACCCUCACGUGGUGGUUUGGCAUGAAGUGAACUCUAAAGUUGUACCUCGGGAGUUACCCUACGUGCCUCCACAAUCGAGGUAAGAAUAUAACAGGAUUCCGUGCCCCUCAAAAAGGCUGAUCCAUAAAACCCGCCCACUGUAACAAGCUAAACCCACAAUACAAUAAAAUUUGCAAUAGCAUGACAUAGAUUUUCAUACAUUUUCAGCCUCUCAAGGCAAAUCAACAAUUCAUACAUUUUCAGCACAUUUACCAAUUCAACCAUUCAUGCCAAUAUUAUCAUAAGCCAUUCAAUUCAAACCAUGAUUUAUAACACAUCAAUUAGUCUCCAAUUACUCCAUUUUCAAAACCAUCAUUCAAUUUCAAGACAAUUUUAUAAAAUCAUUUCAUUUAAUCACAUUUUGCUUAUAAAACAUAAAGAUUUACCAUUUAAACUAAUUUUUCUAUCAAAUCACAAAAACAAAUAAAAACUACUUUAGAUAAUUAAGACGAUAAUAAGGUUACUCACUAUUUCGAGAGUCGAAUUUCGAGUACUCCGAUUCUUGAUCCUCGGGUACUAUCUCUUUACUUUUGCCAGAAAGCUCACCACUUAGACAUAAUGCACAAUAAGCCAUUUACUACGUUUAUGCUAAACCGUUGUAAAACCAAUUCAGGCUUUGUACUAAUGCAUGAAAUGAGAUGUGAAAUACUCGGGCAACUAUCUAAAUACAGUGUUCAAUAUAAAUUCAAUUAUGUACCUUAAUAAAAUGGUAUUGGCCUAAUUCGAUCUAUCACUCGAUUAAUUGGCCAAUAUGUCCAAUUUAACUCCAAUUAACUCCAUUUUUCUUCCAAUUCUCCAAACCCUCAAACACAAGUCAAAUAGCAUAAAAUUUAGCAAAAUCAUCUUCACAUUUUCUCUUGGGAAUUUCGGCCAUGGUGGGUGCAUCAAUACUAUGAUUUUUCCUACUUGAUUUUCUCACCGUAAUUCAUCAUUUCCUAACAAAUUCACUUGAAAUAAAAUCAAAAUCAUCAUCACAUUUCACAUGGAGAAUUCGACCAAUGAGGGUUAUGGAAGAACAUGAAUUUUUCUUAUUGGCUUUUCAUGCUGCACAUCACUAACUAACUAAAAACACUAAAAUACAUUGAAAUCUAACCAAAUCAUGCAUCAAAACCUCCCUCCAAGUGUUCAGCCAGCAAGGGAUUCAUCAUGAUUUCAUGUGAUUCAACCAUGGAAAAUAAGAAAAAAUGCUUAAGAAAGGGAGAUCUCAAGCUUAAUUGAAAAAAUCUUACCUUUUUUCACUUGUUUCCUUGUAUUUUGACACUUUUCCCUUGAAUUUUUCCGCCUACGGUUUUGUUCUUCCUUUUUCUUGCUUCUCCUUGGUGAGGCCGAC